This 340-nucleotide ribosomal RNA is filed under the name uncultured Leptolinea sp. Its description in RNAcentral is "bacterial SSU rRNA". It matches the Rfam family "Bacterial small subunit ribosomal RNA", at positions 1028 to 1382 of the family's 1533-position model. The record is from RNAcentral. Lineage: Bacteria; Bacillati; Chloroflexota; Anaerolineae; Anaerolineales; Anaerolineaceae.
UUUGGCACAGGUGCUGCAUGGCUGUCGUCAGCUCGUGUCGUGAGAUGUUCGGUUAAGUCCGCUAACGAGCGCAACCCUCGCUGUGUGUUAUAUGUGUCACACGGGACUGCCGGUCUUAAGCCGGAGGAAGGUGGGGAUGAUGUCAAGUCAGCAUGGCCUUUAUAUCCUGGGCUACACACACGCUACAAUGGCCAACACAAUAGGUUGCUAAGCCGCGAGGUGGCGCCAAUCCAUAAAGUUGGUCUCAGUUCAGAUUGUAGGCUGCAACCCGCCUGCAUGAAGAUGGAGUUGCUAGUAACCGCAGGUCAGCUGUACUGCGGUGAAUACGUUCCCGGGGCUU